Molecule: ribosomal RNA, 506 nt
Filed under: uncultured bacterium
Lineage: Bacteria
Description: partial 16S ribosomal RNA
Rfam family: Bacterial small subunit ribosomal RNA
Source: RNAcentral
AUUGAACGCUGGCGGCAGGCCUAACACAUGCAAGUCGGACGGUAGCACAGGGGAGCUUGCUCCUCGGGUGACGAGUGGCGGACGGGUGAGUAAUGUCUGGGGAUCUGCCCGAUAGAGGGGGAUAACCACUGGAAACGGUGGCUAAUACCGCAUAAUGUCGCAAGACCAAAGAGGGGGACCUUCGGGCCUCCCACUACCGGAUGUGCCCAGAUGGGAUUAGAUAGUAGGUGGGGUAAUGGCUCACCUAGGCGACGAUCCCUAGCUGGUCUGAGAGGAUGACCAGCCACACUGGAACUGAGACACGGUCCAGACUCCUACGGGAGGCAGCAGUGGGGAAUAUUGCACAAUGGGCGCAAGCCUGAUGCAGCCAUGCCGCGUGUAUGAAGAAGGCCUUCGGGUUGUAAAGUACUUUCAGCGGGGAGGAAGGCGGUGAGGUUAAUAACCUCGCCGAUUGACGUUACCCGCAGAAGAAGCACCGGCUAACUCCGUGCCAGCCGCCGCCGUAA